CCAAGCAAUAUACUCCCGCCGGUCCUAUUUAUAAGAGAAUUUUUUGUCAACAAAAGUUGAUGUAUCUAGUUAAAAAUUCAGUCCAAAUACUGUUGACCUAAACUUCUCUUAUAAAUAGGACCGGAGGGAGUACUUCACAUAAC
RNAcentral lists this microRNA precursor (143 nucleotides) under Medicago truncatula (barrel medic). RNAcentral's name for it is "miR5281e stem-loop (mtr-MIR5281e)". Lineage: Eukaryota; Viridiplantae; Streptophyta; Magnoliopsida; Fabales; Fabaceae. The record is from miRBase by way of RNAcentral.